RNAcentral lists this ribosomal RNA (497 nucleotides) under uncultured bacterium. RNAcentral's name for it is "bacterial SSU rRNA". It matches the Rfam family "Bacterial small subunit ribosomal RNA", at positions 8 to 524 of the family's 1533-position model. The record is from RNAcentral.
AGAGUUUGAUCCUGGCUCAGGAUGAACGCUGGCGGCGUGCCUAACACAUGCAAGUCGAACGGGAAGCGACCUUCGGGUCGUGGAGAGUGGCGAACGGGUGAGUAACACGUAGCUGACCUGCCCUCAAGACGUGGAUAACUAUUGGAAACAGUAGCUAAUACACGAUAAGCUCACGUUUAAUAGAGAAAUGUGAGAAAAGUUAAGGCGCUUGAGGAUGGGGCUGCGAGCCAUCAGCUAGUUGGUGAGGUAAAAGCUCACCAAGGCGACGACGGCUAGGGGACCUGAGAGGGUGACCCCCCACACUGGAACUGAGACACGGUCCAGACUUCUACGGAAGGCAGCAGUGAGGAAUAUUGCACAAUGGGCGAAAGCCUGAUGCAGCGACGCCGCGUGGGUGAAGACGGUUUUCGGACUGUAAAGCCCUUUUCUAGGUGACGAGAGUGGACGGUAGCCUAGGAAUAAGUCUCGGCUAACUACGUGCCAGCAGCCGCGGUAAU